GACGAACGCUGGCGGCGUGCUUAACAAAUGCAAGUCGAACGGAAAGGCCCUGCUUUUGUGGGGUGCUCGAGUGGCGAACGGGUGAGUAACACGUGAGUAACCUGCCCUUGACUUUGGGAUAACUUCAGGAAACUGGGGCUAAUACCGGAUAGGAGCUCCUGCUGCAUGGUGGGGGUUGGAAAGUUUCGGCGGUUGGGGAUGGACUCGCGGCUUAUCAGCUUGUUGGUGGGGUAGUGGCUUACCAAGGCUUUGACGGGUAGCCGGCCUGAGAGGGUGACCGGCCACAUGGGGACUGAGAUACGGCCAAGACUCCUACGGGAGGCAGCAGUGGGGAAUAUUGCACAAGGGGCGGAAGCCUGAUGCAGCAACGCCGCGUGCGGGAUGACGGCCUUCGAGUUGUAAGCCGCUUUCGCCUGUGGCGAAGCGUGAGUGACGGUAAUGGGUAAAGAAGCACCGGCUAACUACGUG
Molecule: ribosomal RNA, 468 nt
Filed under: uncultured bacterium
Lineage: Bacteria
Description: partial 16S ribosomal RNA
Rfam family: Bacterial small subunit ribosomal RNA
Source: RNAcentral